GGCUAUAGUUAUCGUACUCUGAACAUGCCUGAUUUCAUUUGAUUUCAGAAGCUAAGCAGGACACUGACAAGAUGGAGAAUUUUCUGGAAAGCAUUAACAGAAUACAUAAGAGACU
This 115-nucleotide ribosomal RNA is filed under the name Phascolarctos cinereus (koala). Lineage: Eukaryota; Metazoa; Chordata; Mammalia; Diprotodontia; Phascolarctidae. The record is from RNAcentral.